RNAcentral lists this long non-coding RNA (261 nucleotides) under Homo sapiens (human). RNAcentral describes it as "HSALNT0352048". The record is from RNAcentral. Lineage: Eukaryota; Metazoa; Chordata; Mammalia; Primates; Hominidae.
UCUCAGGAACUCCUUUGUGAUGUUUGCAUUCAAGUCACAGAAGUGAACAUUCACUUUCCUAGAGCAGGUUUGAAACACUGUUUUUGUAGUAUCUAGAACUGGACACUUGGAACGCUUUGUGGCCUAUGGUGAAAAAGGAAAUAUCUUCGCAUAAAAACUAGACAGAAGCAUUCUCAGAAACUUGUUUGUGAUGUGUGUACUCAACUAACAGAGUUGAACCUUUCUUUUGAUAGAGCAGUUUUGAAACACUCUUUUUGUAGA